Molecule: ribosomal RNA, 408 nt
Filed under: uncultured bacterium
Lineage: Bacteria
Description: partial 16S ribosomal RNA
Rfam family: Bacterial small subunit ribosomal RNA
Source: RNAcentral
GACGAACGCUGGCGGCGUGCUUAACACAUGCAAGUCGAACGAAGUGGCGGACGGGUGAGUAACGCGUAAUCAACCUGCCCUUCAGAGGGGGACACCAGUUGGAAACGACUGCUAAUACCGCAUACUGAUGGAGGGGUUUGCGUCGGAUUGGCUAGUUGGAGGGGUAACGGCCAACCAAGGCGAUGAUCCGUAGCCGGUCUGGGAGGAUGAACGGCCACAGUGGGACUUGGGAACGGGCCAGACUCCUACGGGAGGCAGCAGGGGGGGAUCUUCCGCAAUGGACGAAAGUCUGACGGAGCAACGCCGCGGUGGUGAUGACGGCCUUCGGGUUGUAAAACUCUGUUAAUCGGGACGCGGUACCGGAAUAGAAAGCCACGGCUAACUACGUGCCAGCAGCCGCGGUAAUAC